GCGUCCGGACGCGCGACAGCUUCCACCCGCCUCAGGCAGUAUCAGCCGCGCCGCAGUCGGAGGAAAUAGACGCGGGGCCUGAGGCUCCUGGACUUGAGAGGCUGCAGAAAAGGCCCAGGAGGCUGUUGAUGACAUGAACGACCACCAGGAGAAGCUGGAGCAGGCUGAUGCACAGAAGGGCGGAGAAGAGGGACACGUGCCAGACAACAGCUGCAGAGGGCUCCAGGCAGACGGAGUUCCAGAGCGAACGGUCAUACAGAUAAUUCCUAUCCCAAAAAAUAAGGAGACCAGGGGUCAGGCGAUAAGUAAGGAAAGCCAAACAGGCAACCCCAGUAGAAAACUGGGGUCUCCCCUGACCGGGUCAUGGGACUGGGCUCAUGAGGGUGACCGUUACUGCUCCAUUUGCAAUUUUCUGAGUAUCAGAGGAGCAAGAUGCUAGGAUGUGUGACCCAAAGGAGCUUGUAGUUCGUCUGUGUGUCUUUUUGUCUCUCUCUCUCUCUCUGUCUGAAAAGACCAAGCCCAAGCCUCCACCCAUUUACCUACUAUGCAGGUCUUUGAAUGGGUAACCAUAUUUCCAAGCUUGUGUCUGAUUGAAGGAUGAAACAUCAAACAUGCAAAAAGGACCAUCUUUCAGAGCAACUCCAGAAGUGACAAAGCAAAUCAGGGCUCCAAGUAAAGCCAGGCCACCUGACAACAGAGCAGUAAGCACCUGCGGAGGGAGGAGAAACACUGAGCUAAGACGGGGUCGCAGCUGGGGAGCCUGCGGAGGGAGGAGAAACGCUGAGCUAAGACGGGGUCGCAGCUGGGGAGUCUGUGGGGCGGUCUGCACAGGUCUGACUUCUCUGGUCUCAGUGUUCUUCCGUCCUGUCAUGGGGGAGAAUUCUGUCCAUGGCACCCCCUUUGAAGCAUAACCCAUGGUGGGGAGGCCGUGAGGGGUUUCUAGGAGAGAAAGGACCAAGAAGCAGAAUCGCAGGCCCCGGAUCUCCCUGACCGUGAGUUCGCCUGAGCUGCUCAGCAGCUUGGCAUCACAAACCUUUUGCACAUUACAGCCAUUCAGCCUCUGAGCUAAAGAAGAAGCUACCACAGGCCCACCACUGACUCUUCUAAGGAAAAGCUGCAUUUUCAAAAGUUCCAGGUUCCCAACUCUGAUUCUUCUCUAUUUCAAAUCAAGGAUAAAAAAAAGGAAGGGAGGGAAGGAAGGAAAGAAAGAAGCAGGAAAGAAGGGAAGGAGAGAAGUGGGAGGGAGGGAAAGAAGGGAGAGAAACAGCGAGAGAGAAGCUGCAGCCAAGCUCUGAAAUGACUCCACUUCUGUCGCUGUGUUUCUCCAGCUGAGAGCUUUCUUGGCCAUCAGUCUGUGCUCCCACUGCCCUCCCAGAAAAUAACUGGGUUUCCUUCCUUGACAGGUUUCUAGCCUGCUUCUACAUUGGCUUCUUUCUCGUUCCUUCCUUCCUUCCCUUCCUUCCUUCUUUCUCUCUCUCUCUUUCUUUUUGAGACAGAGUCUCACUCUGUCGCCCAGGCUGGAGUGCAGUGGCACGAUCUCAGCUCACUGCAACCUCUGCCUCUGAGUUCAAGCGAUUCUCCUGCCUCAGCCUCCCAAGUAGCUGGGACUACAAGCAUGCGCCACCACACCCAGCUAAUUUUUGUAUUUUUAGUAGAAAUGGGGUUUCACUGUGUUGGUCAUGCCGGUCUCAAUCUCCUGACCUUGUGAUCCACCUGCUUCAGCCUCCCAAAGUGCUGGGAUUACAGGCAUGAGCCACCGUGCCCGGCCCAUAUUGGAUUCUUUCUUAGGGUUCUAGAUUUUUUUCUCCCUCCCCCAAAAAUGCCUAUUUUAAAAAUGUGAAUAACACCUACAUAGCGUUUUUCUGCAGAGUCAUGGAGUCAUUCUCCCACUGAGGUCAAGCUGGUUUGGAGUUGGGGAGGGAUCAGACAAAGGUGCAUAGUAAGUUUUGACUCUGAGUUAAAGGAGUCAAGAUGAAUCAGUAAGCCUAGGGCAGUGGUUCCCAAAAUGGGGUCCCUGCCCAGCCGCAUCACAUCACCUGAGAACCUGUUAGAAAUGCAAAACUUCCCCGCCAUCCUGAAUCAGAAACUCUGGGGAGGGAGCCCAGCAAUCCGUGUUCCGGCAAAAGCCCUCCAGGUGAUUCUCAUGCACAUUCAAGUGUCAGAACUACGUGCCACGGGGAAAACCAGAAUGAGAACAGACAGUGAAUGAAAUGUGCAAGUGUUUAUAUGAAAGCCUGAAACUGGAAAGAUGAAGCAACUUGCCCAAGAACUUAGCGUUACUGAGGGUCACAGUGAGGACCUGACUUCAGGCCCCAAGACCAAAAUUGCCUCUUUACCGCCCUGCCUCUAGAGUAAUAGAGGUGGAGACAUUCUGGGUGUUAGAAGAGUGGAAUCUGGUGCUUACGCUUCGACAGAGCCCACUCUUACUGAAGCAGCCGUAUCUCCAGCCCAUCAAGGAGAUGAGGAUAGCUGCAGUGAGUACCUGCAGGAGAGAGAAGAAUGUUGAGAUGGGGAAAUCGACUUUGCCGGCUGUUUCUAGGUGCUGCCCACAGCUGUUAGAGUGGCUGGCAGCUCACAUGAACGCAGUCCUGUUGACUCUGACUCUGGGGACCCACAUUUGUAUGACGAGCCUGAUCUAACGCUGUGGAUGUUAACUUUCACACCCGACCUGCCUGGUCCCAAGCUAGGCUUCCUGUCUCUUAGAGCUUCUACAGACCCAAGAUCAGCUUGUUAGAAUAAACUUUUCUGCAAGGAAUCAAAACACUCUUCCCAUGCCACCUUCCUGCUCCCCGCCGGGGUCUCUUUGAGAGUUCACGUUCAGGGAACCCCGGACACUUACCAUGAGGCCUCCUCCCCAGAGCCCAGUUCCCAGCAUGGCAUGCCUGCCAAGGAGGCCCCUCAACAGGUAGGUGACAUCCCAGUUAGGAAGGAGGAGUGCCACGUUGGCCCCAGCAGCAAACAGGGCUGCAGUCCCAAGGCUCAGUCCCAGGAUACGGGAGCAAGUCCGUGAGCUUGCCUGCGUGCAGGGAGAGGACACCAUCCUGGAACAGAUAGAAAGGGAGUCGCAGCAGCUCUGCUGUGGGGGGAUGGGGAAGGGAACUCCAGCAGCAUAUCAUGGGUGAGGGAAACAGACUACAGAAACCGCCACCUUCCAGGGUCAGACCAAUGAGAGCCAAGCAACCUGCUUAAAAACUCUGCUCCUUAGGAAUCUUCCCCAGUGACUAGGAUUUAAUUGUUUCCUUUUCUGCUAACCCCUGUUCACACAUACAUAGUUUGCAUUCCAUCAUAUUUUGUUUAUGCCUCUAUUACAGCCAGUGAUUAUUUCUGACAAAAAGAAAUGUUUAAAGGUGUCUUCAUGAUGUCCAUUGUCUCCACUUCUAUUCAACGUUGUACUGGUCCUGGCCAGUGCAAUACGAAAAUAAAAGGAAGCAAAAGCCACACAGAUAGGAAAGAAAGAAGUAAUAUUGUCGGCCAGGCAUGGUGGCUCAGGCCUGUAAUCCCAGCACUUUGGGAGGCUGAGGCAGGCGGAUCACGAGGUCAGGAGUUCAAGACCAGCCUGGCCAACAUGGUGAAACCCCGUCUCUACUAAAAAUACAAAAAUUAGCUGGGCACGGUGGUGGGUGCCUGUAAUCCCAGCUACUGGGGAGACUGAGGCAGGAGAAUUGCUUGAACCCGGGAGGCAGAGGUUGCAGUGAGCUGAGAUCAUGCCACUGCACUCCAGCCUGGGUGACACAGCAAGACUCCAUCUUAAAAAAAAAAAAAAGUAACAUUGUUAUUAUUCACAGAUAAUGUGAUCACAUUAUGUAGAAAAUCCUAAAGUUUAUUAGAAUUAACAGGUGAGUUUAGCAACGUCAUAGAAUAAAAGAUUAAUAUACAAAAAUUAUAUUGUAUUUCUAUAUACAAGCAAUGACAAAUUGAGGAUUGAAAUUAAAAUAUAUCAUUUACAAUAGCAUAAAAAUAUAAUACAUAUGGAUGAAUUUAACAAAAUAUUUGCAAGACCUAUAUAGUAAGAAUUGCAAAGCAUUGCUGAGAAAAUUAAUGGAGACCUAAAUAAAUGGAGACAUAUACCAUGUUCCUGAACCAGAAGACUCAAAAUAGUUAACAUGUUCUCCCUAAAUUGAUGCAAAGAUUUAAAGCAAUAUCAGUCAAAAUCCUAGGAGAGUUUUGUUAUAGAAAUUGACAAACUGAAUCUAAAUUUAUAUGGAAAUGCAAAGCAAUUGUGAAGAUUAGCCAAAGCAAUUCUGAAAAACAAACAAAGCUGGAGAACUUACGCCAUGUGAUUUCAAGACUUACAAAGCUACAGUAAUUGAAGACACUGAAGCCACGCGUAAGGAAACACAUAUGGACUACUGGAACAGGCUGGAGCUCAGAAACAGACCCGGUCCAGGAAAAAUGAUUUUUUUUUUUUCUUGAGACGGAGUCUCGCUCUGUUGCUCAGGCUGGAGUGCAGUGGCGCGAUCUCA
This 4463-nucleotide long non-coding RNA is filed under the name Homo sapiens (human). RNAcentral's name for it is "HSALNT0317581". Lineage: Eukaryota; Metazoa; Chordata; Mammalia; Primates; Hominidae. The record is from RNAcentral.